GACGAACGCUGGCGGCGUGCCUAAUACAUGCAAGUUGAGCGCUGAAGGUUGGUACUUGUACCGUCUGGAUGAGCAGCGAACGGGUGAGUAACGCGUGGGGAAUCUGCCUUUGAGCGGGGGACAACAUUUGGAAACGAAUGCUAAUACCGCAUAAAACCUGUAAACACAACUUUUAAGCUUGAAAAAUACAAUUGCAUCACUCAAACAUGAUCCCGCGUUGCAUUAGCUAGUUGGUGAGGUAAAGGAUCACCAAGGCGAUGAUACAUAGCCGACCUGAGAGGGUGAUCGGCCACAUUGGGACUGAGACACGGCACACACUGCUACAGGAGGCAGCAGUAGGGAAUCUUCGGCAAGGGACGAAAGUCUGACCGAGCAACGCGGCGUGAGUGAGGAGGGUUUCCGGAUCGGAAAACUCUGUUGGUAGAGAAGAACGUUCGUGAGAGUGGAAAGCUCAUCAAGUGACGGUAACUACAGAGAAAGCGACGGCUAACUACGUG
This 497-nucleotide ribosomal RNA is filed under the name uncultured bacterium. RNAcentral's name for it is "partial 16S ribosomal RNA". It matches the Rfam family "Bacterial small subunit ribosomal RNA", at positions 28 to 507 of the family's 1533-position model. The record is from RNAcentral.